Molecule: long non-coding RNA, 750 nt
Filed under: Panax ginseng (ginseng)
Lineage: Eukaryota; Viridiplantae; Streptophyta; Magnoliopsida; Apiales; Araliaceae
Description: long non-coding RNA (PGIN_LNC015468)
Source: RNAcentral
UUUUUUUUGAAUUUAAAUAAUAUAUUUUGGACACCUUUUAGAGAUAAUUUUUAUGGAAUAACUCAAUUUCAUAAAUUGGAAAAAAAUUGUAUUUGAUGAUUUCAUUGGCAUGGAGUCCACCAUAAUUUGUGAUCUUUAUUCGUGAAAGUAUGAAAUAACUAAUUUCGAUCAUAAACAAUUCCACUCACUAUUUUAUUCUCUUCUCUAUUUUACUUGAUCACCAAUUUCAUUAUUUGAAUCCAAACAUAACAUUAAUUUAAAAUAUUUUAUAGGGCGGAUGGUGAAAAAAAAGAGAGUAGAAUAGAGUUGAGAAUUUUUAAUUAGUUUAUUAAAUUUAGUUCUAUACCUGGCCCGACUCGGAUUGCCUUCAAGGGGUAACUCUUCCAGCUCCAGCUUCAGCAAUAAAAAGAAUGGGAUUUGCGGAAUCACAAUGUAGAACAAGGUAAAUUCUCUCUUUUUCCGUCCAUAAUCAUUAGCUAUCGAUCUGUCUAUAGCAAUGCCUCAGUUUUAUGCCAAUCUAAUUUGGGUUUUCUCAUUCAAUUUGAAAUACCCUUGUCGUUACUGGUAUAUAAUGUGUGAUCGAAUUAGGUAUAAACGAUGAUAAUAGCUGUGGUUUCGUAUCAAAAUGGUCCAGGCCGCCAUUGCAAAUGCGAGCUAUACAUAUAUACAUGAUGACAGAGGUCCUCUUCAAGCCCUCGAUACUCACCAUAUUGUUGUUCGACGAAAUGCCGCAAUGGGGUUCAUCUUAUA